This is a long non-coding RNA of Erinaceus europaeus (western European hedgehog), 1239 nucleotides long. RefSeq lists it as uncharacterized. The record is from RefSeq and is a predicted model, not a curated record. The transcript is spliced from 3 exons. NCBI's taxonomy places the organism in Eukaryota, Metazoa, Chordata, Mammalia, Eulipotyphla, Erinaceidae.
CAGGGUAACAAAAGGGAAAAAAUGGCCUCCAGGAGCAGUGGAUUCGUGGUGCACUGAGCCCCAGCAAUAACCCUGGAGGAAAAAAAAGAAAAUAUGUUAUCUCAGGGGCUGGGCAGUGGUGCACACAUUACAAUGUGGAAGGAUACAGGUUUAAGCCUUCAAUCUCUACCUGCAGAAGGAUGCUUCACUAGUGGUGAAGAAGUAUUUCAAGUAUCUCUCUUUUUCUUUCCCUCUCUAUCUCCCUUUCCUCAAUCAAUUUCUCUCUGACCUAUUAAAUAAAAAAAAAAAAUCUUAAAAAAAAAUUACCUGGGGAGAUUAGGGGAAAUAGCAUAAUGGUUAUGCAAAGAGUCUUUCAUGCCUGAGGUUCCAAAGUUCCAGGUUCAAUCCUCCACACCAGCACACACACAAAGAAAUAAUCAUGUGGGGACUUUUCAAACAAAACAAAACAAAACAAAAACAUACAAACAACAACUGUUGGCAGGAUCCACCUCAGAUUUACUAAAUCAGAGAGUAAGGUCUGGACAAAGGACCUAAAGAUAUUAAAUUAUUUGUCAAAGGUUGAAAAGUAGUAUCUGUCUUUAUCCUUGUAGUUGCAUAACUCCAAGCUUAAACUGUGGCUUUGCUAGUAAGGAAUUAAAUCCAUGUCCUAGUUAAUCAAUGAUUGAGCAAUAAAUCAGGAAUGAAAGGACUAAUUUCACUGCAGUCUGACUUUUCAUAUUCACCUUUCUCUCUCUCUCUCUCUCUCUAUUUUUCUUUUUCUACCAGGACUUGGUGCCUGCAUGGCUACACUAUUCCCAGUGCCCAUUCUCUCCCCCCCCCCCCGCUUCCUUUUCUUUCUUUUUUUAUAGAAGGUAUGAUAGAGAGGAGAGAUACCUGCAGUAUUGUUCUAACACUCAUGAAGCUUCCCCCAUCCUGCAGGUGGGAACUAGGGACUUAAACCUGGGUCCUUGCAGGUGGUAACAUGUGCAUUCCAGCAGAACAGUUACAACUGACUUAUCCAACUCAGAGUCACUUGGACUGAAUUCCUGUGGACAUAUGAGCAAGAGGGGGGAAAAAAGGAAAGAAGAUUGAGUGCCUGUCAGUGGUGCACCCAGUAGAAUGCAUACAUUAUUACUAUGGGCAAGGAUCCAGGUUCAGGGCCCCAGUCCCCACCUACAGAGGGAAGCUUCAAGAGAGGUGAAGCAGUGCUAUAGGUGUGUGUCUUUCUCUCCCUCCCUUCCAUCUCAAUGUCUAUAUCUA